AAAUUGACACUAUUCAGCAAAAAUAAUUAAAUUUUCUUCCCUUCUCCAACUAUCAAUGCUUAUGUCAUAUCUCCAAACGCACUGAAACACUAUAUCUCAGAGAUGGAAUAGGUUGAUGAUUGGAGAAAUGGUAGAACAAUCACGUCAUCCGUCCACCACUUCGCCGGCGUUUCUUGUCUUUCUCUCCACAUACUCUAAUCUAAGACAGACGCUGGAUGAUCUCACACGUAAUGGUUUCUCUGUGGAAUAUCCCGUUCAGCGAAGGGGUAUUGCAUUAUCUCUGUUUAUGGGACUAUGAAGACUUGCUUUCUGGAGGAUGGCCUAACUGAAGAAGCCGUAGUCACCAAACUUCGUACUUUUUUUUUUUUGAGAAUUGAGGCAUGCUGAGUUUCACAUGUUCAAUUCCUGAUUUUACUUGUAUUUCAUCUGCAAAGGUUGCAUUUCAUUAUUCAAUUCAUUCUCACUGCAAAAUUCAUUGUCAAGAUUGAUUUGUCUUGUUGAAUUUUUAUCUCUGGAAACAUCACUCUCUUGCAGUGACACAAAACAAUCAUCACUCUUGUGUACUGACUGUUAACUCUUUUGAUUCUAGCAUAUAUUUUUCUGUACUAGCAGAGCUAACUGUCACGACCCGCCAGAUACCCCGGCAGAUCGCGACCCGUCCAGGCAGCUAGCAGCAGGCGCAAGGGGCAGACUGCCCAAGCAGGCCAGCAGGCAAAGGGGCAGGCAGCAGUUGGAGGGGCAACCGUUUCAGCAGUUUCAGCUGUUACAGCAGUUACAGCCGUUACAGCUGUUACAACAAUCAAUGGGGCGGCAGUUUUAAGCCUUGGAGAGGCUUGGCAGAACGUGGGGCAGACUAGUCAAGGCUAGGAGUCCCUUUUUGGAAGACUUAGGAGUCAUGCCUUAAGUGCAUGAACAUAGGGGCUUGUAUAGUUGUAUUUAUUUACUCUUAGUGGUUAGAGUAGUAUAAAUAGUAGGGUCAUUGUAUUUUGUAAAGCAUCCAACAAUCCACUAACAUAUCAAUACAAGUCUUUUCUUCCAAAAA
Solanum lycopersicum (tomato) is the source of this 1042-nucleotide long non-coding RNA. RefSeq lists it as uncharacterized. The record is from RefSeq and is a predicted model, not a curated record. NCBI's taxonomy places the organism in Eukaryota, Viridiplantae, Streptophyta, Magnoliopsida, Solanales, Solanaceae.